UGUUUAAACCCGACUUUUCUGAAGUCAAAAAGUGCAAAGAACCCUGGGACGACUGUAUGCUGAGAGUUUAGACUUCUUACAUGCAACCAAAAAAAAACAGAAAAUAAAAUAAUUCGUAACCCAUUGGACUUUUACAUUGAUAACAACAAUAAACCCAUUGGACUUUUACAUUGAUAACAAUAAAAUUUAACAAUGGCGCAUCCAUUCAGUACACUUGGCUGGCGUGAAAAGGACAAGACAGACGCUAAUACCUGUGAGGCUUGUGGAAAAUACAAUGCACAAGCGGGGGACGAGCAUUGCGUCUUUUGCUUUUUCCAAUUCGUCAGUAUUCUGCUUCAAAGCAGAAGCUCAAAUAAUGCUCGAGUUGAAAAUACCACCGCGAGCGCCAUCUCGCAGUUGCCGAAUUCGUCAACUGAACUCUUUAUCGAGAAUGACACGUCAAUCAAAUCAAACGAGCAAAAAGAAUUUUAAAUCCAUGGUUGGACCGAAUGCACUUUGUAUAUUUCAUUAAUUGAAGAAUAUUCGUGAACAAUUAUUUUACCAAAUUGGCCUAUCGCCGUAUAUGUAAUGUAUAUACACUUAAAGCGUGUCGCAAUAGCUCGGAUCGUUGUAUAUAUAAACAUUUUCAAUGAGUUUAAAAUAAGAAUUCGUUAGAAAUCGCAAGUAAACCUAUUUCAAUUUAAAUAUAAAUCCUUUUUUUUAUAAAACGAUAACAUAUUUUUUUCAUAUUUUGAUAAAAUUUGUUUCAUACGUAUAGAAGUCCAAUCAUAGUUUUUUCUCGUGUAUAUACAAGCAAGACCCAAACACAUGUUUACUUUUUAAAUUCGUUUUACAGUCGUAUUUAUAAUAAGAACAAAACCCGAUUGUAUUUGACACUGUAUAUUGCCGCACCCUUUCAAUAAACAUCAGUUGUACAGUAUUAAAUGUAAUUAUCAAAA
Molecule: non-coding RNA, 938 nt
Organism: Ciona intestinalis (vase tunicate)
Lineage: Eukaryota; Metazoa; Chordata; Ascidiacea; Phlebobranchia; Cionidae
Source: RefSeq, a predicted model, not a curated record